RNAcentral lists this ribosomal RNA (554 nucleotides) under uncultured archaeon. RNAcentral describes it as "bacterial SSU rRNA". It matches the Rfam family "Archaeal small subunit ribosomal RNA", at positions 325 to 879 of the family's 1478-position model. The record is from RNAcentral.
UCGGGGUGCAGCAGGCGCGAAAACUUUACAAUGCGGGAAACCGUGAUAAGGGGACACCGAGUGCCAGCAUCAUAUGCUGGCUGUCCAGGUGUGUAAAAUACACCUGUUAGCAAGGGCCGGGCAAGACCGGUGCCAGCCGCCGCGGUAACACCGGCGGCCCGAGUGGUGAUCGUGAUUAUUGGGUCUAAAGGGUCCGUAGCCGGUUUGGUCAGUCCUCCGGGAAAUCUGACGGCUCAACCGUUAGGCUUUCGGGGGAUACUGCCAGGCUUGGAACCGGGAGAGGUAAGAGGUACUACAGGGGUAGGAGUGAAAUCUUGUAAUCCCUGUGAGACCACCUGUGGCGAAGGCGUCUUACCAGAACGGGUUCGACGGUGAGGGACGAAAGCUGGGGGCACGAACCGGAUUAGAUACCCGGGUAGUCCCAGCCGUAAACGAUGCUCGCUAGGUGUCAGGCAUGGCGCGACCGUGUCUGGUGCCGCAGGGAAGCCGUGAAGCGAGCCACCUGGGAAGUACGGCCGCAAGGCUGAAACUUAAAGGAAUUGGCGGGGGAGCAC